RNAcentral lists this long non-coding RNA (1132 nucleotides) under Mus musculus (house mouse). Its description in RNAcentral is "lincRNA-EC172". Lineage: Eukaryota; Metazoa; Chordata; Mammalia; Rodentia; Muridae. The record is from RNAcentral.
GCUGGUCUUGAGGUGGGAAUCCUGCUGUGGGCAGCAGGCAGCCCGGCCAAAGAGGAAACAGCUGAAGGAUCUGGAGCUAUCCCGAAGCUCCAUGCUCUGAUACCUAAGAACUCUGUCCUUCCCCAAGAGAGAAACCUGGAGGAAGAUCCAUCAGCCUUGAACUCCUGAAAGUCAUGCUGCUCGUGAGUUUUAAAAUUAUGUAAAAAUUUGUUAUCCUGAAACUUCCCACCUGGAUUCCAUGAGUUAAUCUGGUCCCCUGAGAUCUGUUUAUGGUGUAAAAGACAUUUUCUCUGACAAAUGUGAUUUGUUAAUUCUGUAGAGAGGUUUUCCUAGCAGACCUUCAUGUCCCUUCGUGAAGUGGGAACAUCUUUGUAGGAACUAAAAUUUGAAAGGAGAGAGUGACCACACAGGAAAACAGGGAGGUGGUGUUGGUUACCAUUUCAGCCCUUGGGAAGACUAUUUCAUGGCCCUGCCUUGGAAGAGAUGGAUGUUUGGGUGCAAUGGAGAUCUAGCUGGGAAUUAAGAUCUAAUCUGAGGUUACGCCAAUUGUCUUAGUUAGGGUUUUAUUGCUGUGAAGAGACACCAUGACCAUGGCAAUGCUUGUAAAAGACAACCCCUUAAUUGGGGCUGGCUGACAGUUUCAUAGUAGUUCUUUAUCAUCAUGGCAGGAAGCAUAGUGUGUUCAGACAAACAUGGUGCUGGAGAAGGACCUGAGAGGUCUACAUCUUGAUCCUCAGGAAGAGAACUGGCUUGAGCGUCUGAGACCUAAAAGCCUACCUCCUACUCACACAUCUUCUUCAACAAAGCCACGCCUACUUCAAGACCACACCUCCUAAUAGUGCCACUCCCUAUGGGCAUAUGGGGGCCAUUUUCUUUCAAACCACCACUAAGCAUUUGGGUCUUUCUCCACUAGCUCCUUCACUUUUAGCACAAGAGAAACACAGAGCUGGGGGUUAUAGGAAUUGCAAGUGAGACUCUCAGCCUGACAGGUUGGUGGGUGAAUUCUUGAAGCUUGGAAGGGCUUUGGAGAUUGGAUUUCUACUUUGGUCCAAAAUAUGAGGAUGUUUAGUCAUUCUUUUCACUUAGGAGAUUGUUUAGUCCAGAAAAACAUAAUGGAGAGAAACCCAGUCUC